This 440-nucleotide ribosomal RNA is filed under the name uncultured bacterium. Its description in RNAcentral is "partial 16S ribosomal RNA". It matches the Rfam family "Bacterial small subunit ribosomal RNA", at positions 338 to 795 of the family's 1533-position model. The record is from RNAcentral.
CCUACGGGAGGCUGCAGUGGGGGAUAUUGCACAAUGGGGGGAACCCUGAUGCAGCGACGCCGCGUGGGUGAAGAAGCGCUUCGGCGCGUAAAGCUCUGUCAGCAGGGCAGAACAUGCCCGUUCCUGAACAAGAAGCCCUGGAUAAUUCCGGGCCAGAAGCCGCGGUAAUACGGAGGGGGCAAGCGUUCUUCGGAUUUACUGGGUGUAACGGGGGCGCAGACGGCAAUGCAAGCCAGGAGUGAAAGCCCGGGGCCCAACCCCGGGACGGCUCUUGGAACUGCGUGGCUGGAGUGCAGGAGGGGCAGGCGGAAUUCCAGGUGUAGGGGUGAAAUGCGUAGAUAUCAGGAGGAACACCAGUGGCGAAGGCGACUAGCUGGACUGCAACUGACGUUGAGGCGCGAAAGCGUGGGUAGCAAACAGGAUUAGAUACCCGUGUAGUC